Molecule: long non-coding RNA, 10052 nt
Organism: Prinia subflava (tawny-flanked prinia)
Lineage: Eukaryota; Metazoa; Chordata; Aves; Passeriformes; Cisticolidae
Exons: 4
Source: RefSeq, a predicted model, not a curated record
UCCACCAGCUCAGCUCUCCCGACUCUGCGAGUUUGCUGCCAGGCUCUUCUUUUGCUGCUGCCUCUCUGAAGAGCCAGGGAGAUUUCAGGAUCAGCAAGGUGAACAGCAAAGGCUGUUGGGGUCUGCCACAUCAUUCACUGUGUGUCUCCUCAUCUCUGCUGAGAUGCAGCCACUCCUGGGGUGGAGUUUGGUGCAUGUGCACAGCACGUGGCCUUUGGGGACAGGGAGAGGAGGAGGUUUUGUGGAUUGAAAACAGCAGAAGCAAUUCCCCACCAUGCUGUAGCUUGACUGGCCAGACUGAAUUGGGAGGUGAUGUUGGAAACCUCACCUGUUUCUUAUAUCUUGGAGACUGAAACAUGCCAAGUGGUUGGGUUUCAUCACCUGCUUGGAUUUUAUGCAGUGCCACCUUGCAGGAAGGAGCAAAGCCCUCCCAGACACUUUUAUCUGUGUCCCUCUGCGUUCACCCCAGCUCUCCUCAGGGGCAGUGGUGUGCUCCCAAGGCACAGCAGCUGGAGGGAUGAUCCCAGGUAUCCUCCUUGGGUCUGCUCAGCUCCAAGGGCUUUAGCCCAAUCCUCCUCCACGAACAGGAGCUCUGGGAGCAGAUGUGCAGACCCCGAGGCUGCCGAUCACACGGGCAUCAGCAGCUGCCCUGGCUUUGGUGGAGUCUCUGUGAAAAGUUUCCUGCUCAGGAACCUUUAAAACCCAAGAUGUUGCUCCAAGUUGGGCUUUGGGACCUUCUCUCCUUGCAUGCCCAAGGUGCCUCCACUGCCAGCCUGAGCUCACGUUUCUGAUUGAUGCAAGCAAAUUAGGCUGCUCCCACCCUUGUGCCUGCUCCCCACCCAGAUCCACUCUGGCUCCAAUGCCGGGGUGCCACGUGCUGCCCCAUGAUCUCUGUUCACCCCAUCAGAGCCCAGCACUGAGCAAACCAAGACUGAAGGAUGGGAGAACCUGAGCUCUUGACUCUCAGAACCCCCCAGGCCUUGCAAAGCUGCUUCAGACCUUCACACCUGGCAAUAAAACACCAGCAUGGACCAUCCUGUGAGUCCAAACCAGACCUGAAGAUUGAGAUAAAGGUGGCUGUGGCUGCCCUGCAGAGCCCUCAAGCUGGGAGAAGAGGAAGAGGAGGAAGGAGAAAGAAGGAGGAGGAGGAAGCACAAUGUUUGUAGUGGUCUUGCAGAUGAGAAAUCUCCUGCCCAGCCCUGCAGGAGCCAAGGAUGCACGGCCACCUCCCCUGAGCUGGGCCUCCCAAGGCCAGCAGGAUGGGGACGUGCUGGCAGCAGCCACACAAGAGAAAAGCACUGGUGGGGGAAAAGCCCUGGUGUGGGAAGGAGCAGGAGAGGUUCACGUGAAGCCACCCCCACAGACCUCCCAGAACAGGGUGAGAUUUGGUUGCCAUCACCUCAACAACACAGCCCCCAGCCCUGUGACUCCACAGACCUCGCCUCAUGCAGGUGUUGGUUGUGUCCUUUGCUGGGCUGCUUCUCUUCAGUUUCCUGUGGCCAGGACUAUCUGGAGAGCAACCUCAGCAUGCCAGACCCUGCGUGUCUCAUGGGCUUUUUCCAGCUGCAGAGCCAGACAGCACAGCUCAGUGCCCAUGAGCAACCCUGCAAUAACAAACUGGUCACCUCCCAGCCGUGUCCUCCCAGCCCUCACCUUCCACAGCAGCCAAUUAUCACCAAAGUUAAACAGUAGCUACGAGCAACUCCAACACAAAAAACCAGCACCACAGAGAAAAGCUAGACAGAAAUUAGGGCUGAGAGAGGUGGCAGGGAGAGAAAGACACUGCAGGGAGAAAAAUAAAUGGUAUUGAUUCUUCUGAGGCCCAGCUGUGGGGUGGCACAGAGGGUGAAUCAGAUCUGGCUGUGUUUGGACACCGUGUUCCCCAUGGUGCACGAGCUCUCCCUUGGAUGGGCUUCUACAAGGAUCUCAUGAAAUUUGUACCCCCAAAUCCCUUGGAACAAUUAGUGGAAAGGCUGAGAGUGGAGCCCACAGAGGCCAAAUUAGUCUCAUUUUUUUACCCCUUCUUUCCCCACCAGAAGUGGUUCCUGGAGUGGUGAAGUUGCUUACAUGGAUGGCCCAGCAUGGGGGCAGCUUUCCCCCUUGAGUCUGGCCUGUGGAGACACAGAGCUCAGCAUUUUCUGCAGCUGUAAAUCAGGCAGUUCUCACCAAUAUAGACUUUGCUCUGAGUUGUAGGGGAUUAAAAAAAAAAAAAAAAAGAGGAAAAAGAAAAAAGGAAAUCACAAUUCAAACUCUCUGCCUUGGCCAAACUUGGUCCUUUUAAGGAAAGGAAAUUUCCCAGAGCCACCCUCGACAAACCUGGGGGCCUGAUCCUGCUGCAAGGAAUGUCUGUGCAAAUCCAGAGUGGCUCUGCUGCCUGCUGGGGGUUACAGCAGCUGAACGAGGCUCCAGCCUCAGAGCAAAGCUCCUGGUCUCCUGCCAGGAGAUGGAGCAGAGCUCACACCAGAGCAGCCUGAGAGCAAACUGGGGAUUCAGAGGCAAUAAACAGCAGAAAGAUCUGACUCCCCCUCUUAAGAAUUCACCCUUUCUGCUGAGCCACGUUCUGGAAGCACAAGCCCUGUUUUGCUGUGAGCUGCAUGGAAUAAAACAGCUGUGUCCCUUGGCUGGACGGCUCUUCCAGGGGUGCCAGAUGUUUUGCUUAGGACACGUCAGAAGAGCCUUGCUCGAGUUCAGACUUUUUUUCCUCUCAGGCUGCUUGCAGGAGCUUCAGUGGGUUUUGGGGUUUUUUCAAUAUUUGCUCUCCACCAGAUUUUCACAGGAAAGCAAUAGGGAUUGGAAGCAAAUUGGGAAAGAUUUGGUUUCACCCCAGCCCCUCUUUGUAUAAAUAAUCUGCAAGGGAAAAGCUGGAAUGAUGAGUAAAACACUUGUGCUGCCUUUUCACUGGAAUUAAGGGUCUGGAUGUAACCCGCUGUGUCCACACGCUCUGCUGAAGAGACCAUGCUGGCACAUUUUGGGGGUCAAACCCCACAAAUGCCUGACUGCCCCCAGCUCCCACGACAUGACAAACCAGCCGUGGAGUGUUGUGGAAACAGCACAACCAGCAAGGUCCAGGACUGGACCCCAGCGUCCCAGCCACCAAACCAGGGUGCACGAGGCCACAGAGCUCCCUGCGGGGUCAGGAAGAUGUGAAAUGCCCAGGACAACAUCUCUGCGAGGCUGUCACCGUCCUGCACCCGGCCCAGCCCCGAGGCCGCCGUGGCUCCAGGAAAAGCCGCCUCCCGAGCGCCCCGUCCCGCCCCGCUGCCGGGCAUCUCCCAGCCCCGCGCCCGCCCGGGCACGCCGUGCCAGCGUGGGGAACCAGCCAGCUUCUAAACAGUUAAUGCCGACAAAACCAGGCAGCUUGAGUUCCCUCCUUCCCGGACCGCUCCUAGUGGAACUCACCCCCUUCAAAUGAAACGAAAUAAAAUUAUCCUCCUGCUCUGACCUCGCCCCGGUGUCCUCUCGUCCUCCCUGUCUGUGCCUCCGCUCUUGCUGUGCCCCCACCCUGCGCCGGCGCGGCCGGGAGCGCCCGUGCCCAGCGUCUCCCACCACGUUUGCUCCGGCUGCCAUGUUGAAUUGCAAAUCCGACAUGAUUCGACACAUUUCACCCCGUCCGUGGUGCCCGGCGGGGAACUGAGGCACCACCCGGGCGACAACGCCCAGCCCCGGGUGGCUCCUGGGGACGUCCCGGGUGGUGGGGCGAGGGCAGGGGGAGAAAUCAGCCUCCAGUCCUGCUCCAAACGCUGCACGUAGGGACCUGCCUAUCUGCUACACAUCCCUCUCUAGGAGACCGAUUAAAGUCGGGUGUUUUAGCACCAAGGGCCGGAGGACUCGGCGGGAAGGGAUUUCGGGGAGAAGGCACGUUACAGCAACAACAAAGCAACGGAGCAACUGGAGGAACAAAACGUUAUUUCAAAUCAAAGGCAAAAAAACCCCAACCGCACGGACAAAAAAGAAAAAAAAAACCAACCAAAAUUAAGAGUGAGGUUCAAUUUCGUACCAAGGCAGCAAGAGAGACGCACCGUGGAAGAGAGUGGUUUUGUUGUUGAGUAGUGGCUGGAUUUAGCUCCGCUUAUCCGGACAAUCAUCGGGGAAGGAUCCUUUUCCGAGAAAGGCCAGUUUGAGUGAGACAGCUUUUUUUUUUCCCUUCUCUCGCUCGCUCUCUCCCCUUUCCUUCUCCUCGCAGCUCAAUGCCAAGAAAUGGGCGGUGCCUGGAUGCCAGGCUCCAUCCGAACGAGACACCCAAGGCCAACGGAGGCUGGCACAAAGGCGAGCUGGCAGGAAUUCCUGCACUCGGAGCCGCGCGCCUGCGGGACGAGCCCGCCGCCUCCCAAAAAAUCAACCUCCGACACCGCCCGCUCCGGAAAGUUGCCCCAUCAGGCUCGAGAACGCCCCAUGAGGCUCAAGCACAGGGCAAAAAAAUAGACAAGGGGAGGAAAAAAACCUCCAAGAGCCCUCUUUGCAUCGAUGCAGGUUAAACAAAAGGCCUGGGGAGGUGGAUUUUUUUUCCGCCCUCCUCAUGCUCCUUUUCCCGCCUUCCCAUCCCUCUCCUCCCUCCUCUUGUCCUCCAUCGUUGUCUCCGUCGCCCGCCGCCCCAGCGUCCAGGCAGAAAUAAGCCCUUGGCUCCCUCCUUCCUGGUUUUAGCACGACAGGAGGUGGCGAGUCCUUGAAUAGGAACACACACACCCAACGCGAGAGGGACCCGAUGGGGGCAGAAAAGAAAGAGGACAAAAAAUAUAAACGUAUACAUACAAACAACAACCCAGCCGCCAUGGAGGACGGUUGGGAGCAGUUGCUGCCAAGGGUGGCAGAUUGGGGGUGGUUUGGGUGCCAGGGGGUAUUUUCGGCCUUAUUUUGUUGCUGCCCAAGCACCUGGGUCGUGCCGAUUGUAAAAGGGAGUCACGGCGGGGUGGGGAAGGGAGCGGAGGGGGGGGCAGCUGGGAUUGGUAGCGCUGCUGGGGAGAUGCCAAAAAACCAAAACAAAACACGUUUUCAUUUUGUCUGCACCAGCCUGGGCGCAGGCGAGCACGGGAGAGAGGGAGGGAGAGGGAGGCGCACGCCAACAGAAAGCCGCCGUGCUCAGACGCGGGCCUGCGGCCACGUCCCUCCGCAGCCGCCCCACAGCCGUUCCCGCUCCCUCGUCCCCCUCUCCCUGCCCACCCGGCUUCGCCUGCCAAGUCCGAGUUGGCACGGCUCCCCCGGCUGCGCCGAACAAAGCCGUCACCCAUCCCCGAGCCGGCGCUGACAGUAAGCAAAGUGACAGGCGCAUCUUCCGCAUGUUAAUCCAAACGGCGAGGAGGCGAGCGAGCGGCGGAGCCCCCCCGUGCCAUGCACACACACCCCCCCCGCCACCGAGCCACCCACCCCACCCUUGGCACCCGACGGCCCCGGUGGCCUCGUGCAGGGCUGGCGAGGCCCCCGCCGGCGGGAGCACCGAAGGCUCCUCGUUUAAAUCGAGGUUUAAAUCGAGCCGAAGCCCUGCUCGGCGGGCAAACGAGGCCACUCGGCAUCUGCUGUACCUGUUCCCGCUGCCUUCAUCUCGCCUUGGAACCGUGACAAGAGCGCACUCGCCUCUGGUGGGCUCUCAAAGCCGCGGGUCUGUAACCCUUUGCAGGAAGUUGGCACCGAUCCCAGUCCAAACCCAACGCGAAGGGAAAGGAGGGGAAGAGAAAUCAAAUGGGAAGAGAAUAGCUCCAAGUCGGCAGGACAAUGCACGGGAAACGGGGAGAUUAGCGUAGCUCUCGAAAUCCAUCACGCCCGCCCCGUUUCUGAACCGUUCGCCUCCGCGCCUCGUCUUUUUUAAUUCUCCCAGCUCCUGAAUUAUUCCAGUCCACGAGCGGGAGGGGAGCGCACAGUCCAGAGUCCCUCAGAGCUGCCAAGAGCAUUGCAACAGGAAAGAAAGGAAGCAGGAGAGGGAGAGCCAGGCAGAGCCCUCACAAUCGAGCAGCGAGAAGAGCAAGGAAAAAUUAACAUCCAAUUAGUGCCGUGUUUAACGAGGGAGACAGAGGCGGCUGUUGUUUUAUUGCCCUGUUCUUUUCAGGCGCAUCUGACAGGCAGCAGGGAAGGCACCCCUGCUCCGAGUGACGUCAUCAUAUUUUAUUUUUUAAUUAUUUCCCCCCCCCCCGUUCCUCCCCCGUCUUUCCCUCUCUAAGUUUCGCACAGACGAUCUCAGCAACUCGGCCACGGAAAUUCGGGACUUUCUCGCGUUCAAGCCACCGGCUCCCCCCUCCACCUCCAGCCUCCCCCCGUCCACCGACAGCAACCCUGAAAAAACAACAGCGCCAACCCACCCCAAAGUCUUUGUUCUUCCAAAAAGAAAAGAAGAAAAGGAGGAAAGAAAAAAAAUCAGCGUUGGGAUGAGAGCUGGAGGGAGCCCGGAGGAGGUUUCUCCGUGUGCGCGUCCGAGUGUGUGCGUGCGGCGGCCGGUCCCUCUCCCGUCCCUCUCCCCAGACGCUCGCUCGCCUUGUAAAACUUUGCUGCAUGUGACGCUGCUCCGGCCUCCUCUGGCAGCCUGACAAGAGCCGCCCGGCCGCAGAGCGCAGGCUGCAUUUCAGGGAGAAACUCCAUUCCCAGGGAUGGGAGCAGCCGCGUGUUUGCAGCGAGGGCCGGCGCCUCGAGCCAGGGCCGCGGCCGCAGCGAUGCCGACCCUCACCACGCCAGCCCGGCCUGGGGUCACAGCAGGGGAGUGGGGCCGAGUUUAAGGCUGGGGUGACUUUCCCCCUCCUGUUUCUCCCCUGGGAUGGGGGCCCAGCGCGGUGUAAAUGCCGAGGGAGGUGUGCAGGGGUCACAGUAACUGCAGAAAAGGAGUUUCGCUGACCUUGUGCUGCCAUCUCUUCCCUGAAAGACCCAGAUCCCCUCAGGGUGGGUUAAAACACCACCGGCUCCCCCUGAGAGCGCUGCCCAGGAGGGAACAGGGCAGCUCAGUGCAGGGAGAUUUGAGGGAAUUUACUCUGAAAAAAACCCGCGCAGCAGGCAAGCAGGAGCGUGGAAAGCAUUUCCCCACAUCCUUCCCAUCCUCUUACCAGCUGUGAGUGAUGGAUGGAGCAUUCACAGUCAGCAUGGCAGGUCAGGCCACUGCCCUGAGCUUUGCCACCGUGCUCUUUGUAGCCUCUUCUCCGUGUUUCCAGAUGGGAUUUCUCUUGUCCAGGGAGGAAUCCACGAGAACCUGGCUCCUCUGUAAUCUCCCAUUUCAGGAAUUAUUUGCCUACGUGGAGCUCGGCGCUGCGGGAGAACAGAGCAAACAGCCUUAUCGAGGGCAGCUGUGCCACAGGGCACUUCCUCAUGCGUGGCUGCAAGAUGGGGCCCUGCACGGCUGUGGGGGAGGGCUGGGAACCCCCGGCCUUGCCACUGACCAGACACCACGGAGACACCAGGCAGCACCCAGGCAUCGGGAGAGCUCUCGGGGAUCUUCCCUCCCUGCUCCACGGCGGGAGAGCGGCACGGCCAGGAAGGGCUUUGGACUGAACUGAAGGGUCUCCAGCAGCACGGCUCUGCAGGGGAGAGGGGAGGAUGGAACAGUGGCUCCGAGCUCAGCUGCACCUCCCUGGGCACAAAGGCUCAUCUCGCUGCUUCCCACAUCCUGCCAGACUCCAGCAUCCAAGCCCAGCAGAGAGACAGACCAGCCUUGACCUGAGAUCCCCUCUCCUGGCUGCUGUCACUGCCUCCCCUCUCCCCUGGGCAGCUGGGAGCAGAUGAGGCCAAAGUCCCGGCAAUCUCAGUUCUCCACUGGAGCUUGAUAAACGGCGCGGGCACGGAACAGCAGCGGUCCCCACCCGGCCUGGCUUUGUGCAGGAGAGUCAAUAUUUAAACCAGAGUUUGUUUCCUGGGCAGACAGGGGAGCGCCAGUGGGAGAACCCCCCGGCUCCAUCCCGGGUGCCAGACCCAAACCUCCUCCUCCACCCCUUCAUUUGUUCUCCUGACAUGUUCCAGCCUGGAUCCCUUCUCCUGUGGGAUACCGGAGCACCAGCUGCAGGGCCAGGCACUGACUAAGGGGUGGCAAUUCAAGGGAGAGGAAUGCCCAGCCAGGGUUUGGGUUGUCUCCCAGCCUGCUCCUAAUGCAAACAUUUGUCCUUGUGGUGGGACCCCUCAAAUGAAGCAUGAGACAAGAAUCAGGGAUAGAAAAAUAGGAGGUGAGGAAAUAUUCAAUCAUGCUAAGAAUGGCAGCCCCUCGCUUCAAAGUAAGGCAGUGCACUGAGAGCUUUGAAACCUGGUUUUCAUUAAACUGAGCAAAAGCUAUGGUCAACUGUUGGGUUUUCAGCCAAGUUUGUGGGCCCUGAUGAACUGGGCAGAAAUUACUGACAGGAUGCAUCCAAUGGUGCAGCUUUAGGUAAAUCCCUUAGGUACAUUCCUUAGGUAAAUUCCUCAAAGGACAGGAAAUAGCACUUUUCCCUGCAGUGGCUGCAGUCAGGCUGUGCAGAGGCUGCAGGAGGUUGGACAGGCAUGUGAGCAGCACAAGGUGGCUUUAAUUUGGAGGAUAAAGGUUCCUGAGCAGGUGCUGUGUGACCUGGCAGAUGCAAUGCCCUGUGUUGAACAGGUCACAAAACAAGGUGAUAAAAGGCCAGUGGGGAAGGAUGGAGCUGUGAGGGGGAAGAUGGGAUGGCUGAGCCCACCUGACCGGUCUGACAGCAGCAAAGGGUCUCCAGCAUCCCUUCAAGAAGACUCAGGGUCCAUUUUAACUCCAAAAACCUAAUUCCACAUCUACUGUUUCAAGCACCAAGCCCUCUGCUGCCUUCACUCCAGGUGCACCCACUGCAGUUUGCUCAUCCUAAAUAUGCCCACCUUCUGUGAAGGUGAGGAAAAUCAGGCAGAAUCUGAGUUUUAAAAAGCUGUUUUAGCCCCUGAUUUGGAGAAGAGACCAAUGGAAGUGCCUGUCUUAAACAGAAACCUUCCGGAGGGAGAACAUUAUGAAAAAAAACACCAAAAGAAAAAAAAAAUGGCAACACCCAAUAGUUGUUUUAUAACUGUAUUUUGGAGCAUAAUUAAAUCCUCUUUGCAAUCAUCUCUGGUGUUAGGGAACAGGUCCAUGCAUUAUUUAACUGUAACACAAACUGGGAGCGAGGGAGGACAGACAGGACCGACUUCACGACACCAAAGGGAGCUGGGUGGGGGCUGCCAGUCCCAGCAGGUACCACCACUGUCCUGCAGGCCCUGCCUGGGGUGUGCACUCGCCCUGCCUGCUGGAGAAAAAACCCCGUGUGAUGGCAGGACCAGGAUGAGAUGGGACCCCAGCUGCUGCUGUUGCUGCUGCAGCACACAGGAACCUGCUGUAGGAACGCUCUUCCCAGGAGUGCAGCAUCACCUCUGUGCAAAAGACUGCUUUGUGGGGAACUGAAAGGGGGGAAAUCUGCCUGGCUGCCAUCACAGCACAGACUGGUGCAAAGAAACUCUUGUGUGGGGAGCUGAGCAUCAAUCCUGCCCUAGUGCCCUCAGCAGCAAUCCUGCUCUGCUACACCGAGCCAGCCAUGCCCCACUGAGCACCAGGAGCCUUGGAGCCUGAUGCCUCACCAGCUCAAGGUGUAUCCCUUCACUGCAGACAGCCCUGGAGGGCUGCCCCUGCUGCAGGAGAGCCCUUUGUGUGCAGCUCUCCAAUCCCAGUGGCUCCGUUUCCAUCAGUGAGGGAGCAGGAGCCCAGCAGGGCUCGGGUGCUGCUGCCUGGGAGCUGCCCCUCGGUGCAGCCAGGCCAGUCCAACCUGCCUCCCCUGAGUGUGUGCAGGCUGCCUGCCCAGCCCACAGCUCUGCUGGGUGGAUCCUGAACACACCGUGACUGAAAUCCUGUCCAAAGCAGCACCAAGGCAGCGCACAGCCCUUCCCAAGGGCUCUCUCUGUGUCCACAUCCCAUCGCUGCCCUCAGCUGGGCUGGACCCGUCUCUUUGGGACUCUGCAGUGGGACUCUGUUUCCCUUCCCUGUUUGGAUCCUAUAAUUUCCUUUUCAUGCCCAUGGGAGUUGUGAUACUCCUGGGUGUAUCCCUCAAACCUUAAAUAUGGAUGCCAGGUUGAUCUUGCCCAGGAUGAGCCACCUGCCAGGCAAAGGUGCUCUCUCCAGAAAGGACGAGGCA